Molecule: ribosomal RNA, 292 nt
Filed under: uncultured bacterium
Lineage: Bacteria
Description: partial 16S ribosomal RNA
Source: RNAcentral
GGACUACUGGGGUAUCUAAUCCUGUUUGCUCCCCUUGCUCUCGCGCCUCAGCGUCAGGUGUAAGCUAGAAAACCGCUUUCGCCACCGGUGUUCUUCCACAUAUCUACGCAUUUCACCGCUACACGUGGAAUUCCGUUUUCUCCGCCAACCCUCUAGAUUCACAGUUUCAAAUGCAGCUCCGAGGUUGAGCCCCGGAAUUUCACAUCUGACUUACAAAUCCGCCUACGCGCCCUUUACGCCCAAUAAUUCCGAUUAAUGCUUGCACCCUACGUAUUACCGCGGCUGCUGGCAC